GUACUGCUGAAGAGUCCCAAACAAGGACGAAAUGGCUGUCUAGUAC
This 46-nucleotide non-coding RNA is filed under the name Trichobilharzia regenti. Lineage: Eukaryota; Metazoa; Platyhelminthes; Trematoda; Strigeidida; Schistosomatidae. The record is from RNAcentral.